Molecule: ribosomal RNA, 368 nt
Filed under: uncultured eukaryote
Lineage: Eukaryota
Description: partial 18S ribosomal RNA
Rfam family: Eukaryotic small subunit ribosomal RNA
Source: RNAcentral
CAGUAGCGUAUAUUAAAGUUGUUGCAGUUAAAAUGCUCGUAGUUGAAGUUCGGAUGCAGCAGAGCUUGGAAACGCUGUUAUGGUGCUUCCGUUGCUUUUGCUUGUCCACAGUGCGUUGCAAGUACGUAUGUGCUUGUGCGUGCAUUUUACUUUGAGAAACAUAGGGUGUUCCACGCAUGUUACGGCAUGAAUAUUCCAGCAUGGAAUAAUCUGGUACGACUUCCAAUCUGCCAUUUUGGUUCGUAGGUUGGAAGUAAUGAUUAAUAGGGACUGUCGGGGGCAUUGGUAUUUGACUGUCAGAGGUGAAAUUCUUAGAUUCGUUGAGGACCAACCACUGCGAAAGCAUUUGUCAAGGAUGUCUCCAUUAA